AAGGCUCAGGAAUCGAAGUUCAAAGAUCAACCAAUGAAGUUGAAAAUUGAACUUGAAAAAUUGAGAGAAAAAUCAAAAUUCCUUUAAGUGAGGGUUAGGGAUUCAAUUGUGCAGAACUUCAGACGCAUUUAGGUUGAAGUUUGAAGUGAAUGAAGCCUUCUAUUUAUAGGCAAGGCUGAUACAAGGCAUGAAGAAACUCGUGUGCAUGUGAAGUUGGAUCCUCC
RNAcentral lists this long non-coding RNA (224 nucleotides) under Lathyrus oleraceus (garden pea). Its description in RNAcentral is "Pisum sativum (pea) long non-coding RNA (PSAT_LNC008241)". The record is from RNAcentral. Lineage: Eukaryota; Viridiplantae; Streptophyta; Magnoliopsida; Fabales; Fabaceae.